Molecule: non-coding RNA, 79 nt
Filed under: Collinsella bouchesdurhonensis
Lineage: Bacteria; Bacillati; Actinomycetota; Coriobacteriia; Coriobacteriales; Coriobacteriaceae
Description: aspS RNA
Rfam family: aspS RNA
Source: RNAcentral
CCGGAUCGCGCUGUCUACACGCUCCGGCAAUCUGUACGCCAGCCGCCCGUACGACACGGGGCGGCGCAGAUCAAAAAGG